GCCCAGACUCCUACGGGAGGCAGCAGUAGGGAAUCUUCCGCAAUGGACGAAAGUCUGACGGAGCAACGCCGCGUGAGUGAUGAAGGUUUUCGGAUCGUAAAGCUCUGUUGUUAGGGAAGAACAAGUACCGUUCGAAUAGGGCGGUACCUUGACGGUACCUAACCAGAAAGCCACGGCUAACUACGUGCCAGCAGCCGCGGUAAUACGUAGGUGGCAAGCGUUGUCCGGAAUUAUUGGGCGUAAAGGGCUCGCAGGCGGUUCCUUAAGUCUGAUGUGAAAGCCCCCGGCUCAACCGGGGAGGGUCAUUGGAAACUGGGGAACUUGAGUGCAGAAGAGGAGAGUGGAAUUCCACGUGUAGCGGUGAAAUGCGUAGAGAUGUGGAGGAACACCAGUGGCGAAGGCGACUCUCUGGUCUGUAACUGACGCUGAGGAGCGAAAGCGUGGGGAGCGAACAGGAUUAGAUACCCUGGUAGUCCACGCCGUAAACGAUGAGUGCUAAGUGUUAGGGGGUUUCCGCCCCUUAGUGCUGCAGCUAACGCAUUAAGCACUCCGCCUGGGGAGUACGGUCGCAAGACUGAAACUCAAAGGAAUUGACGGGGGCCCGCACAAGCGGUGGAGCAUGUGGUUUAAUUCGAAGCAACGCGAAGAACCUUACCAGGUCUUGACAUCCUCUGACAAUCCUAGAGAUAGGACGUCCCCUUCGGGGGCAGAGUGACAGGUGGUGCAUGGUUGUCGUCAGCUCGUGUCGUGAGAUGUUGGGUUAAGUCCCGCAACGAGCGCAACCCUUGAUCUUAGUUGCCAGCAUUCAGUUGGGCACUCUAAGGUGACUGCCGGUGACAAACCGGAGGAAGGUGGGGAUGACGU
This 864-nucleotide ribosomal RNA is filed under the name Bacillus subtilis. RNAcentral's name for it is "bacterial SSU rRNA". It matches the Rfam family "Bacterial small subunit ribosomal RNA", at positions 329 to 1185 of the family's 1533-position model. Lineage: Bacteria; Bacillati; Bacillota; Bacilli; Caryophanales; Bacillaceae. The record is from RNAcentral.